AUCGCGUAGUUACAAUUAAGUGAUUUUAAUUUUAAGUUGAAGAUGGAUAGCAAUUUGAUUAAACUAAAGACUAUUAAAUAUAAAAGCAAGUAAAUAAAGAAUUAAAUAAAGUUGAUUUCAGUUAUGAGAUAGAAGUUUGGUUCAAAUAUGAGGAUGGAUUCUCAGGAUCUUAACUAUUCCUUAUUUGAUGGCUGGUAUCCUUCUUUCAGAUGAUUUUGCUUAGAUAUCUAAAUAAUAAAGAUAUAGCC
This 248-nucleotide long non-coding RNA is filed under the name Elaeis guineensis (African oil palm). Its description in RNAcentral is "long non-coding RNA (EGUI_LNC050368)". Lineage: Eukaryota; Viridiplantae; Streptophyta; Magnoliopsida; Arecales; Arecaceae. The record is from RNAcentral.